RNAcentral lists this ribosomal RNA (731 nucleotides) under Mesodinium pulex. RNAcentral describes it as "partial Eukaryotic large subunit ribosomal RNA". It matches the Rfam family "Eukaryotic large subunit ribosomal RNA", at positions 88 to 900 of the family's 3401-position model. Lineage: Eukaryota; Ciliophora; Litostomatea; Cyclotrichida; Mesodiniidae. The record is from RNAcentral.
GGCGAGUGAAGCGGGAAGAGCUCAGACUGAAAAUCUUCGGAGUUGUAGUCUGUAGAAGCUAUGCCGGUCGUCUGCCACGGGUCAAGUCUCCUGGAACGGAGCACCAAGGAGGGUGACAGUCCCGUUUAUACCUGUGGACGGCGGCGUACGGUUGGCUUUCCAAGAGUCGAGUUGCUUGGGAUUGCAGCUCUAAGUGGGUGGUAAAUUCCAUCUAAAGCUAAAUAUUGGUGGGAGACCGAUAGCGAACAAGUACCGUGAGGGAAAGAUGAAAAGAACUUUGAAAAGAGAGUUAAAGAGUACCUGAAAUUGCUGAAAUGGAACCGAUGGGAGGCAGUGUUGGCGUGCGGCCAUUCUGUGUUGUCCGCUAGCGGGUAGCGCGUGAUGCCGUGUGCAAGUCAGGCUUUUUUCGACGAGUGGGAGAGGUCCCAAACCUGUAUGGGUUGGGUGUGCCGUCACUUGUUGGAGGGACUCUGACGAAAUGCCUCUUAUCAACCCGUCUUGUAACACGGACCAAGGAGUCUAACAUAUGUGCGAGUUCACGGGCGGGUAAACCUGCUUGCGCAAUGAAAGUGACUGCUGGGAUCUUUGCACCAGCAACCGACCAAUCAAUUGAGAGAGGUUUGAGUAUGAGCAUAUCUGUUAGGACCCGAAAGAUGGUGAACUAUGCCUGAGUAGGGCGAAGCCAGGGGAAACUCUGGUGGAGGUCCGCAGCGAUUCUAACGUGCAAAUUG